AGGUGACCUGCGGAAGGAUCAUUACCGAGUGCGGGUCCUUUGGGCCCAACCUCCCAUCCGUGUCUAUUAUACCCUGUUGCUUCGGCGGGCCCGCCGCUUGUCGGCCGCCGGGGGGGCGCCUUUGCCCCCCGGGCCCGUGCCCGCCGGAGACCCCAACACGAACACUGUCUGAAAGCGUGCAGUCUGAGUUGAUUGAAUGCAAUCAGUUAAAACUUUCAACAAUGGAUCUCUUGGUUCCGGCAUCGAUGAAGAACGCAGCGAAAUGCGAUAACUAAUGUGAAUUGCAGAAUUCAGUGAAUCAUCGAGUCUUUGAACGCACAUUGCGCCCCCUGGUAUUCCGGGGGGCAUGCCUGUCCGAGCGUCAUUGCUGCCCUCAAGCCCGGCUUGUGUGUUGGGUCGCCGUCCCCCUCUCCGGGGGGACGGGCCCGAAAGGCAGCGGCGGCACCGCGUCCGAUCCUCGAGCGUAUGGGGCUUUGUCACAUGCUCUGUAGGAUUGGCCGGCGCCUGCCGACGUUUUCCAACCAUUUUUUCCAGGUUGACCUCGGAUCAGGUAGGGAUACCCGCUGAACUUAAGCAUAUCAAUAAGCGGAGGAAAAGAAACCAACCGGGAUUGCCUCAGUAACGGCGAGUGAAGCGGCAAGAGCUCAAAUUUGAAAGCUGGCUCCUUCGGAGUCCGCAUUGUAAUUUGCAGAGGAUGCUUUGGGUGCGGCCCCCGUCUAAGUGCCCUGGAACGGGCCGUCAGAGAGGGUGAGAAUCCCGUCUUGGGCGGGGUGUCCGUGCCCGUGUAAAGCUCCUUCGACGAGUCGAGUUGUUUGGGAAUGCAGCUCUAAAUGGGUGGUAAAUUUCAUCUAAAGCUAAAUACUGGCCGGAGACCGAUAGCGCACAAGUAGAGUGAUCGAAAGAUGAAAAGCACUUUGAAAAGAGAGUUAAACAGCACGUGAAAUUGUUGAAAGGGAAGCGCUUGCGACCAGACUCGCCCGCGGGGUUCAGCCGGCAUUCGUGCCGGUGUACUUCCCCGUGGGCGGGCCAGCGUCGGUUUGGGCGGCCGGUCAAAGGCCCCUGGAAUGUAGUACCCUCCGGGGUACCUUAUAGCCAGGGGUGCAAUGCGGCCAGCCUGGACCGAGGAACGCGCUUCGGCAC
Molecule: ribosomal RNA, 1140 nt
Filed under: Aspergillus tubingensis
Lineage: Eukaryota; Fungi; Ascomycota; Eurotiomycetes; Eurotiales; Aspergillaceae
Description: eukaryotic LSU rRNA
Rfam family: Eukaryotic large subunit ribosomal RNA (bases 537-1140)
Source: RNAcentral